CCUACGGGGGGCAGCAGUGGGGAAUAUUGGACAAUGGGGGAAACCCUGAUCCAGCGACGCCGCGUGGGUGAAGAAGGCCUGCGGGUUGUAAAGCCCUUUCGGUAGGGACGAAAGCUCUUGCUCUAAUAAUGCAAGAGGUUGACUUAACCUACAUAAGAAGCACCGGCUAACUCUGUGCCAGCAGCCGCGGUAAUACAGAGGGUGCGAGCGUUAAUCGGAAUUACUGGGCGUAAAGCGCACGUAGUCGGCUUGUCAAGUCGGGUGUGAAAUCCCCGGGCUCAACCUGGGAACUGCAUCCGAAACUGACUUGCUAGAGUAUGGGAGAGGGAGGCGGAAUUUCUGGUGUAGCAGUGAAAUGCGUAGAUAUCAGAAGGAACAUCAGUGGCGAAGGCGGCCUCCUGGACCAAUACUGACGCUCAGGUGCGAAAGCGUGGGGAGCAAACAGGCUUAGAUACCCCGGUAGUC
RNAcentral lists this ribosomal RNA (465 nucleotides) under uncultured Lysobacterales bacterium. RNAcentral's name for it is "bacterial SSU rRNA". It matches the Rfam family "Bacterial small subunit ribosomal RNA", at positions 338 to 795 of the family's 1533-position model. Lineage: Bacteria; Pseudomonadati; Pseudomonadota; Gammaproteobacteria; Lysobacterales. The record is from RNAcentral.